UUCAUGAGAAAGGAUUCGAAAGUGCUUCCUGAGUUUCACACAAUUUUAAAGGAAAGAAAACUGCCUUAAAAUGCUUCCAAAUUACAGUCCAGUGACUCAGGCUUUACUAGGAACUCUAUUUACCUGGGCUGUAACAGCGGCUGGGUCUGGUUUAGUAUUUAUCUUUAGCGGUGAACAGCGUAAAGUUCUCGAUGGAAGUUUAGGUUUUGCUGCAGGGGUAAUGCUCGCGGCAUCCUAUUGGUCUUUAUUGAACCCUGCAAUAGAAAUGGCAGAGAAAUCUGAGUACUGGGGACCAGAAGGCAAACUGGCAUUUAUUCCUGUAUCUAUUGGCUUUGCUGUUGGUGCAGCAUUUGUUUUCGCAGCAGAUAGGAUACUUCCUUAUAUGGGGCUUGAAUCUCCCAGUUUUUUGGACAAUGUGUUAUCAGAUAAAAAAUCCUCACCAACGACAAGGAACUUCACAAAUAAACAUGAUAAAAAUGAUAAAACUAUUGUCAAUCAUACGAGAAGAGAUGAAAUGAAAUCAACUGUUACUCACAGGACUGUGUCAUCCAAACAUUUGGAUGAAGACGUUGAAAAUGACAAAAUUACUAAAGAAAUUACUAGAGAACAAAAGAUAUCCAGUUGGAAAAGAAUUUUACUCUUGAUUAUAGCGAUUACAGUACAUAAUAUACCAGAGGGUCUUGCUGUUGGAGUUGCUUUUGGAGCUAUUGGAAAGACAGCAUCGGCAACGUUUGAAAAUGCAAGGAAUCUCGCAUUAGGAAUUGGAAUUCAAAAUUUUCCAGAAGGCCUUGCUGUUAGUUUGCCAUUAAAAGCUUCUGGGCUGUCUCUUUGGAAGAGUUUCUGGUACGGACAGCUUAGUGGCAUGGUUGAACCAAUAGCUGGAUUAUUAGGUGCAUAUGCUAUAGUGGUUGCAGAGCCACUUUUACCUUAUGCUUUAGCAUUUGCUGCAGGUGCUAUGGUUUAUGUUGUUGUUGAUGAUAUUAUACCAGAGGCACAAACAAGUGGGAACGGCAAACUGGCUUCAUGGAUGUCAAUAGUGGGUUUCAUCAUCAUGAUGUCACUGGACGUUGGUCUAGGUUAAUGGAGGGUAACGAAGAAUUCCAUCCCAACUAGACACCGUAUAAAACAGUUAAUGCAGAUACAACCAAGCUUACCGCAUGCCAAGAAAAUGUCCUUGCAAAUGUUGGGUACUCUGUCUUGUUGGAGAGUUCGGGACUGCUGCACAUCUGAAAAAUAAAAGGGGAAGACAUGAAGAAAGCCGUAAAAUAAAUGGAAAACUCUAGCUUCAAAAGAACAGACGAAUUGGAAAUGAUAUCAAAAAGUAAAGGUUUCCUCUCGACUAUCAAGGAAAAGAAAAAGACCCGCUUUUCAAAGGACGGUCAAGUGGUCUGAAGGAAACUCCUAUUUUGGUCUUCCACGCAUGCGCAGUGGAACACCAGUACAGGUCGUGUUUUUUCUGUUGUUUUGAACAUCAAUGGUCCGUUGCAAGAGUUCACUUAUAUGGUUAUUUAUGCCAACUAGCAAGAUUAUGAAAGAUUUGCAGCACUUUGAAGACUGUGAAGCUGCCAUUUCCCAGUCUUCUUAUUGGUCACGUAUGGCAUUUAGUUUUCCUUUGCUCGCAGUACAUUAUCGAAAGUCGUUUCGUUACUGAGCCAGUUCUUGGACAGUAAACGAGGGAAUAAGCAUGACAACGAGAAGACAACUCGAAAAGAUAUAAAGACGAAAAAGAAGCAAAAAAGAGGUUUUGUUCAAGGCUAUUCCAAACUGGUAAACAGCAUCAUAAAGAUAAGCACCAAACACAGGAGGCUGCAAAAACAAAGGUAACCAAAGGAACAAGCAUGCGGAAAGCGCCGACUGGUAACGAAAUGUUGAUCUGAGGGUACGCACUAAUACUUUACCAUAUUAUUCUACAGAAUAGUAACACGAUAAAAUCUAUGUUCCCGGAUGUCUACAAAACCUGUCUAUGAUUGAAGUAUGAGUUCCCUGAUAGACUACUAAAAACCCUGGCUAUAUUUGGUUGAUUGACUGACAUCUAAGGUCCCGGAUUGAGUAGAGUCUGGCUUUGACUGGUUGAAGUCUGAGUUCCCGGAUCGAUAACAGAGCCUGUCUGCGAUUGGUUGAUAGUUCCUAAGAUUUUCGACAAAUUACUAUCGUGUGGAAUUGAUUUGGUUCGUCCAGACGAGAGAAUAUUCUUCCAACCAUGAGAGAACUGGUCACAGCCCCGACUAAUUAACAUCCUAUGGAAGAAACGGUUGAUAUGGUUCGGACAUGUUGUCCGGAUGCCUGCGACACGCCCAACCCGAAGACGUCUGGGAACCACCAGGAAGAAAACGACAAGACAGACAACGCAUGCGUUGGAAAAACAGAGACCUGAUGGAGUCAUAUACAUGUUAAGAAGGCAGUGAGCGCUGAUCGCGACAGAGCACCUUCGCGGAACGUUGAGCUGGCGCUGUGGGUCGGACCCAUGACAGUCCUAGAUAGACAUCUGUCAAUCUAUAAUAGUGCAUGUUAUACCUUGGUUAAUUGAUAUACGCAUGGUAGCAUCUACCUAGCUAUGGAACAUGCGCAAAUAUGAGUAUUAAAUUAUGCUGCUGCUGAUGAUGAUAGUAAUAAUGAUGAUGAUGCAAAUAUUGGAAAGUGAAAACUACACAUCACUAUACACACUGAGGAUACCUUACCUUUCUUUUCUAGUAAUCCUUGGAUUGCUGUCAGACCUCGUUCAGAUGCACUGUGACUCGAUAUUCCUAGCAGUUGAAUCAAUGAAUAACAUUACAGACUUACUCCGGCUCAAGAAAGGUAGACUUGAAGAAGCCCGCUCAGGCUUCAAAGUAAGGUAAAUCUCAACAGAUUCUUUUGUCCAGAGUUUGCUGCGCAAGACUUGCUCUCACGAAAGUUAGGAACCAGGAAGCGCAUAAGUAGAGUAAUUCUUAACCGUUUUUUUUAAAUCAAGAAACCUCAGCUUCAACAAAUAUCAUCGCCUGCUUCGAUUAUUUGUUGCAAACUACUUCAGAGUAAAUUAACGGCUGUUCGAGAAAAGAAAUUUUUUUUUACCUGCGUUAAGAUCUUGGACCACUAGUUUUCCUGUUGCAAACGCAUCGUUCAUUGUUGUGGCGAUGACCCCAACAGGUCCAUGUCGUACCCAUCCACUGCAAUAUAGACCUAUUGAAAAGAAAACAGCACAUAAGAAAACUACUUAGAAAUAGUGGAUUUCUAAGCUACGAAUACAGAUCGUACGGGCUCCCUGUGGGUUUAGUCGAUUCUAGACAGACAAAAGUUGACGUAAAAAGAGAAAGAGAGAGAAUAGUGAAUAUAUGAAAAAGCAUCUCAUUUUACCAGUGGUGCCAAGGACUCUGCCAUCUUCAUUUGGUAUGAUGCCAUUUUUAUGAUCGAAAGGGACCGUAUCAUCGAUUGGGACGCUUUUGUACCCAAUGCUACGAAACACCUGGAACAAAUAUAAUAAUUAUCAAUAAAACUAAAAACACUUUUGUCAAACAGUUUUUGAACCCUACAAAUCAGUCGUGUGUGAUAAUUCCUCACCAGUCCACAUGGUACAUCUUCUGUUUGCCCGGUCCCUUCAGCACGAGCCACACCUGCAGGAGACUAGAUCAAGAAAUAUAAAAUACAAUUAGGUCCUGUGUGAUUAUAUGUCAUACAGUCUUAUUGGUUGCUAAACAAUAAAAAAAGUGAUAAACAUA
Molecule: unclassified non-coding RNA, 3695 nt
Organism: Actinia tenebrosa (Australian red waratah sea anemone)
Lineage: Eukaryota; Metazoa; Cnidaria; Anthozoa; Actiniaria; Actiniidae
Source: RefSeq, a predicted model, not a curated record